Molecule: long non-coding RNA, 310 nt
Organism: Schistocerca gregaria
Lineage: Eukaryota; Metazoa; Arthropoda; Insecta; Orthoptera; Acrididae
Exons: 3
Source: RefSeq, a predicted model, not a curated record
UACCCACCGCCCCCCCAUCACCGCGCUUCGACCUCUCUGUCCCCCCCCCUGUGCACCCGCGUGUACACACCGCUCCACCUCUCUUCAUUCACGUACCGUCUAACACACGCCACACACACGUCGGCCAGUGGCCGUCCCCUGUCCUCGACCGCCGGGCACGUCACACCGCCGCCCUCCUCCAUGGCCAACGCUGAGCUAUCCUCCACUUCAAAUGACCCCCUCGCGCUCUUCCUAAACAGCGUCAUCGAACGAGUCUCUGGCAUUCGCUGCAUCGCCCUCUACGACCAAGACGGCAUCCUCAUCAAAGCAG